Long non-coding RNA from Megalobrama amblycephala (Wuchang bream), 452 nucleotides. RefSeq lists it as uncharacterized. NCBI's taxonomy places the organism in Eukaryota, Metazoa, Chordata, Actinopteri, Cypriniformes, Xenocyprididae. The transcript is spliced from 2 exons. The record is from RefSeq and is a predicted model, not a curated record.
AGGACGUCCUGCUCCAACUGUUCCUCAGCAGCAUGGAGGACUUGAGAGGCUGGAGCUUCUCCAGGAUCAUUGAUCUCUCCAAUGUGCUGUGGAGAAGUCUGAUCUAAACUCUUCCAUGCUGUCAUCUUCAGUCGAACAAACUGGAGUGUCAACGUCCUGAGGUUGGAGGACGUCCUGUUCCAGCUGUUCCUCAGCAUCAGGGAGGAGGACUUCAGAGGCUGGAUAUUCUUGAGGAUCAGGGAUCUCCACGAUGUGCAGUAGAGACACCUGAUCUAAAGAGGGAAAUGCCAAUAAUAUGAAUAAAAUACUUCAGCUUUUUACUUAGGGGUACUUUUGAACCAUUAACCAUCUCCAAACAAUGUAGUGUAAAUGGAUUUGUUUCUGAAUUAAAAUUCCCACAUACUGAUCCUGGUUUGGUGAUGACACCUAAAAAAGCUAAUUCUCAACAACUA